CAAGGCACCAGGCUUUCUCCCAUGUUGUAGGGCCAGUGUCCCCUCCUCCAACACCCAUCUCUACCAGGCUCUCCAGAGCUGCUGGGUAGAGCCUCCCAAAAGCUCAGUGCCCAGCCCCCAUCACCCAGGGGCUGGGUGGCCAAGCUGAGUUAAGCUAGAAAGAACAGGAGAGUUCAGGAAGGAACAUGUGUCUCAGCUAACAGGGCAGGGUAGACUGUGCUGGAACGGUGGAAUAAGCUGAAUGCUGUCUGAACAGGGGCAUGGUGUGACUCCUUCCGAGAGAUCAGAAAUGCCACAGAAAGGACAAUGAGGUAGAAGGCACUAAGAACCAGGAGGCAAGGCUCCAGGCUUCAUUCUGUCAUGACCGGGUGGACGCCAGGAGCUGGCCCUAGUGAUGUUUGCAUUUGAACAACAGUGAGAUUGGGUGUCAGCUGCCCCAGGGGCGCCGAGGAAGAUGAAGAAAUGGAGCAGGCUGUCUCCAGGCAAAGGAGGAGAGAAGGGCAGAAUCCGGAUGGUAUGGAAUGAACAGCAAGGGAGGGAAGUGGAAAGGGGAAAUGGGAUUUGCUACUGCUCUAUCAAAUUACAGCGCGCAAAGCUAGCUCCAGGUGAUGGGCUCCUGAGUGUCACCGCCAGGGUACAAACCUCAGUUGUGCCCUCUACUUACUGUGUGACCAUGUGUGAAUGGGCAAACUCUCUGAACUUGAGUUUGCCUCUCAGCAAAACAGUACCUACUUCCUGGGACUGUCAGGGGCACUGAGUGAGAUGACAAGCGACCCUUAGCCCAGCACCUGGUACACAGCAAACACUCCAUCCAAUCCGGACACGAUUAUCAUUCUGCCAGAACUUCUGUGAAAUUUGGUUACAGGUAGGUGGCAAAGCCUGGGUUCUGGUCUUUCUGCUGAUCUCAACAGAUGGGUUUUGAAUAGGCAGGCUUACCUGAGUCACAGAUGACCCCUCUACCUUGACCUAUGAAAUCCAGAGCUCUAGAAAGGCAGACAAAAGCGCAGCAUCAACAUUUCACCUGCUAUUGCCGAAGUGAUAAAUAAUUAGAAUAUUACUUAAAGAUAUGCAGAUAUCUAGGUUGGCUAACCUUAAACCAUUGGAAAUCAGUGUUAAAUUUGUCCUAGUUUUUCCUCGGGCUUGCGUCUUCUGUAAAGGGGAUCUGUGCCUGCGUUAUAUAUAUAUCAUUUGAAAAAAAAAAAAAGGUUCUGCUGCUUUAAAAAAGAAAAAAGUUUGAAAUCCACCAUCCUAAAUAAGAGCACCUCCAGAUACAGGUCUGCACCUCUGAGACCUACUUCAAGUCAUUUGUCUCCGGAGGAGACGCCUCUUUGAGAGUCCUGAGCGUCCAGUGGGUUGAGACCAAACCCAGGGAAUUAUCGCUAAAGAAACCCAAGCCCCGCUUCGGAUAUGUGUUGGCAGUAAACACUGACUGUAUGAUGUAACUUUUUCUUUUGUUUUAAGAGACACUCCUUUCCUACCACUGAGGCAUUGCUGUCAAUUUAACAAAGCCAAAAUUGAGUUCAUGGAGAGAAGAGGGCCUCUUCCACUUCAAGGACUACAACCUUUGAAAAUGCAUUUAAAAGAGAGUAAAGUUUUUUUUAGAUGUGAAUAGCCAGAGACCCAGUGAGGUGUAGGAAAGGUGACCCUGCCAGAGGGCCUUCCCAAGACAAGGUUCACUCAGGUCAGCCGGUAGUCUGUCGCAGGUAAGAGGCAAGGGUCACCCUCUGCCCUCCUCCGCCCUGGCCCUGGCACCCUGGAGCCCUGACAGGUGACAACUUACUUGCAAGAGUAAGCAGCCCCCUCCUCGGGCGAGGGAGUGAGGAGGGGUUGGAGAGGCCAGUCAGUAAGAAGCAAAAGAAGAAAUCUUCCUUAAGAAAAUUACAAUCUCCACUUAGGGGCUAGGCUUGCCAUCCAGCCAGAGGGCUAACUUUUUUUUUUAAAGGAAUUUAUUGGGGCACCUGGGUGGCUCAGUCGGUUGUGCAUCCGACUCCGGCUCAGGUCAUGAUCUCAUAGCUCAUGAGUUCGAGCCCCGCGUCAGGCUCUGUGCUGACAGGUCAGAGCCUGGAGCCUGCUUUGGAUUCUGUGUCUCCUUCUCUCUCUGCCCCUCCCCUGCUUGUGCUCUGUCUCUCUCUGUCUCUCAAAAAUGAAUAAAUGUAAAAAAAAAAUUUUUUUUUAAAAACGAAUUUGUUGGAAGGAUACAGGGUCGCUCACUGAAUCAAAGGCAAAAACCAAAAUGUAUUAUGCCUUGGGAAGGACGGAACUAGGUGGCUCCUGGAAAUGCUAACUGGUGGCUUAUCUUUCUAGAAUGUGGGGAGAUGGAGGUGGCCUCCCUCACCUUCUCCUGCCCCAGCUUUGGGCAGAGUGAUUGACAGGUUCUCCCAACCAUAUCAAAGGAAGAGGGUGUAAUUCAAUUCCCCCAUGGGAAAAAUCACACUUUGGUUUUGACAAUUUAUCGUUUAUGUGUCUUUUUCUUGUGAGAAAAUAGCUUUUAGUCAAACUCCCAAACCAGUGAGAAAAGUUGGGCACUCUAUCAAAAUAACAGCGGAGGGGGUGGAGGAGAAGGUUCUUUUUAUCUCCUUCCAUCUUAAUACAUACUCUGGAUUAGAUGCUGAUUUAUUUGGCACUAAGGGCUGCUGUUAAUCAGUUAUAUGUCAGCAAUCAUUUCCAGCGACAUUUAAAUUAUAAAGCGCGGUGGGAUUAACUGCACUUUUGCAAAUUACCUCUUUAUAAAAGUAUGAGUAAACCUGAUGUGCACCCCGGGGGUGUCAUCACCCCCUGUCUACAUUUGCUGUGAUUCUGGGGAUUAUGACAAGGCUUGGUUUAAGCUGAUGAAUUCGGUAGGACGUGUUUAACAAAGCAUCUUGAGAGACCUGGGAUAGCCCAAGCCAGUUUCCAAAGUGACAACCAAAGACUUGUUAGGGUCACACCUAGCAGGAACCCCAGCUGAACUUGGGGACGGUGCCUGUCCUCCUGCCUAGCUGGUCCGGGCAUGCAGCUGACCCUUUGCAGAGCACACAGUGUCGAAGGCCUCACUUUGUCUGGAAGGUCUCUGGCCAUCUGUCCCUUCAGUGAGGAUUAGAAAGUUCAGAGCAGCAGGAAGGGGAAUUAUCAGUCCUUAGGGUCCUAACAGGCUCUAGGAAUUGUUUUUGGUUUUUCUGGGACUUCCCUCUUGAUUAUAUAAACAUUACUAAGAAACAACAAAACAAAAAUUAGGAAAAUACUGAAGAAAAUACUGAAGAAUACUGAAGCAAAGCCAAAAAAUGAAAUUACCCACAACCUUACAGCCCAGGACCACCAACAGCAUUUUCAGACCCUGGCUUUAGGCUUCCCCUGAGGACACGGGGGAGGGCAUGCUCAUAUGUGUUCACCUAUGCUGUUGUCAGUGCUUUCAAGGAAACAAAUAGGGAAUAAAUAACUAAACAUAUGUGCAUAAUUAGGGUCAUAAUAUAUGCCUAUUUUCACAUCCUGCAUUUUUCACUUAACCGGAUAUUGUGUUUUCCCUGUGCCAUUCUAGUCUUCAAAAAUAACAUUUUGGGGCGCCUGGGUGGCUCAGUCUGUUAAGCAUCUGACUCUUGGUUUUUGCUCAUAAUCUCACAGUUCGUGAGUUCAAGCCCUGCAUCUGGCUCUGUGCUGACAGUGCAGAGCCUGCUUGGGUUUCUCUCUCUCCCUCUCUCUCUCUCUCUCUCUCUCUCUCUGCCCCUUCCCCACUUGUGCUUGCUCUCUCUCUUUCUCUCUCAGAAUAAAUAAACAUUUAAAAAGUUUAAAUAACAUUGUGAUAACAUGUGCUUUGGUUUUAAACAUGACGCAGGCCCUUGGUGAGGACCUCUGCGGCACACAUCACGGUACGUGGCCCUGGUUAGCUCACCAUUAGACCCUAAUCAUGGCUUACACCUUGUCCUUGUGUCUCCACUUCACUUUUUCCUGUUCCUGAGUCAACUUCCACGUGUGUGUGCAUAUUUCUGCAUUUUUACUUCUGUGCAUUUAUACUUUUCGUACUCCCAUUUCCUCACAUUACUCAUGUGGUGAGUUUUUUUUUUUUUUUUAGUUUCUUUCUUUUAAGAGAGAGUGCGUACGAGUGGGGGAGGGACAGAGAGAGAGAGGGAGAGAGAGAGAGAGAGAGAGAGAGAGAAUCCCACUCAGGCUCCACACCGUCAGUGCAGAGCCCCAUGCAGGGCUAGAACUCACGAUCCAUGAGAUUGUGACCUGAGCCAAAACCAAGAGCCAGAUGCUUAACCAACUAAGCCACCCAGGCACCUCUUAAAUUCUGUUUUUAAACCUCACCUGAAUGACAAACAAAUAUUACAUUAUACGAUGGUACCCUAUUUUGCCUCUCCAAUACCCAAUUUGGGGACACUGGGUUGUUUCUAAUGUCUAGUAUGAUAAAUAGUGCCGCAAAGAACAUCUUGCCCCAUGAAACUUUAUGUUUGUCUCUAAUGUUUUCUGGAAUCUUUGGGAAAUUAAUUAAAACUUUGGCUCAGUUCUAUGUUAGGCUAAAAGGCUGUCACUGCUGCCCGCCCCCAGCCCACUUAGUGGAUACUGAAAUUCUCACUGAAGUGACAAGGGGUUUCUGUUUUGACAGGAUGCUUCCAGUGACAGAGCGCUCACUACCAACUGCUCACAUUUGGGCAUCACAAACAAGGUCCUUCCUUUGAUCAAAACAGAAUUUAGUGCUACAAAUCAGGGACAUGGAGAACUAGUUAGUUCUUUCCCAUGGGUUCUUCACAUAGUCAGACAUGUCUCUACGCCUUCCUCCUCCAUUCUAAUGAACUUGAGUCAUUAGAGUUUCCUUCUGGGGGCACCUGGGUGGCUCAGUUUUUUGAGCAUCUGACUCUUGACCUUGACUCGGGUCAUGAUCUCACAGUCGUGAGAUCAAGCCCCCUGUUGGGCUCUGCUCUGGACAUGGAGCCUGCGUGGGAUUCUCCCUCUCCCUGUCUCUCUCUUCCUCUCUCUCUGGCCCUCCCCCACUCUCCCUUUCUCAGAAAACAAAGAAUUUAAGAGUUUUCUUCUUCUGAGGAAGGGUGGGGGAAACCCCUCCCCAUCAUGGGCUCUUUCCUCUGGAUCCCCCCUGGUGCCUUCAUCCCUCCUAGCCUUUGCAGGCAUUCUGCAAUUCAUAUGUAUUUAGGAGAAUAAAUCUUGAAUGCACUCUAACUGAUAAGGUGUAGAUGUACCACAGCUACACCCUGGGGACAGCUGUUGCAUCAGGGUUGAGCUCACCUGCCACCUUUGCAGCCCGACCAUCCUGGUCCUUGGCCCUGCUCCAGCCCUCAGUGGCUGUGUGACUUUGAGCACGUUCCUGAACUUCUCUGGGCCACCUAUGUUGUAGGAGGAAUGAGGUGAGAUGACACACGUGCAGAACUCACAGGGGGCAGCACAGGGUCUGCCCUAGGUGCUGCUAGACCACCCCGGUGGUCGGAUUCCAGCAGCGAAUUCUCCACCCGGCAACUGCAAGACGACACAGAAGACACAUGCCAUUCAAUGCCCCCUUAGAUCCUACAGGGACAAACUCUCUGGUCCCAGUGGAACGAAGCACCCAGGGUUUCCAGUGUGCCCACAGGUUGCCAUAUGGUGGGGAAGAGCGUGAUGAGGAGCUCACCAGACACUACCGGUGUGCUUGGACCUGUUUAUCUGGAGCAUCCCUGACAGGGACACAGGGGCUGUAAGUCAGACAUGCCCAGUAAGUAGGGAGGCUUCAGGCAUGGCUGGUUUCAGGUCACCUGCUCAGCUCUGCUGCUGAGAUGCUGACCAGACACACACACACACACACACACACACACACACACACACACACACACCCUUUUCAGCAGGCAACUCCCAGAUCCAGGACCUCAAGACCUGGGAUCAGCUCUGGAAAUGGAACAAAUAAAAGCCCAAAAACAAAAGAAAAUAAAGAAGACAGGUCUUGGUUUAGCCUUCCGAAGUACGUGGCAUUCUGCAUGCUGCUGUGAUCUGGUCAGAAAUGAAGAUGUUUGCAGGCUGGUUACAAUAAGAUUUGGGGAAGGGAAUGAAAGAAUGGCUGGAACCACUCUGCAGGUCUGAUGAGAAGACCUACCGCUCCCAUCAUCCCCAGUUCUGAUCCAGCGGCACCUAAGAGCUGUACAAGAGGCAGCUCAGAGGGAGAACCGAGGGCCUGGGGCUUCCCUGUUCUCCAGGAAGCCCCCAGGCCCACAGCUCGGGUGACAAGGGGACAAGCAAGUCAGGAGGGUGGAGAGCUGCCUAAAUUUCAUUAACUCAGAGCCUCUGGAUGGAGCUCGUAAGAUGUCUGUGAACGAAGCGUUGAAACCUUUCAUUGUUUCAAGCACUGAUGAUCAUUUUCUCUCCCUGCUGCAUUUAUAGUCGUCACUGCUGCUAAGAUGCCUGUUUCGUUAUGGUCCGUGCCUCACCAGGGUAACUAGAGUCCAAGAGAGGCCUUGUGCUGCACGCCCCAGUACAUCCAGUACAUCCAGCACAAACCAGUACAAUGUGCCUUCGCACGGCCAUUCCUUCUGGGCAGAAGACCUGUCUCUGUCCUGUCCAUUGUGUAAACUCCUAUUCAUCUUUUGAAACCCUUUUCAAAGGCGUUGAAACUGAGAAACCUGGGAAUCAUCCGUUUCUGACAGCUCUCCUUCUGAGCCUACAACCAGUUCCCACUGCCUCUACCUCGGGGAUCGCUCCCCUCCCUUCCACCCUCACCGCACUGCCGACAGGCCUCAGCACCUGUCCCCCAACACGGCCUGCCUCUAAGUACCAAGUACUGGACCAGGUCUGCACUCCUGAGCGAUGAAAGGGCACAGGCCUUAGAAAUAAGAAGACCCAGGUUGAAAAAUGGCUCUGCCACCUAUGACGACCACCUUCUUGAGUUUUCUGGGCCUCAGGCUCCCCCUGGAAAAUGGAGAUAAAGUAAACAACCACAGAGGAUUGCAGUGAGAAAUGAAGCACACGGUGUUUGUAAAGUGCUUGGAGCAGCACUGGCCUGUCCCCCACUAGGUGAGGCCACAGCAAGGAGACAGUCAUCUGCAACACAGGAAGAGGAGCUCCACCAUAACCUGCUCGUGCUGGCCCCUUGAUCUCAGGUGUCCAGCCCCCAGAACUACGAGAAAUAAAUGACUGAUGAGCAAGCUUCCCCCUCCCCGCCCCCGCCAUCUGUGGCAUUUUAUUAUGGGAGCCUGGACUCAUACAGGCGUUAUAUGAUUAGAACUGACAGACACCGAAGCCGGUUGAUUCAAGGGCGAGGUCCAGGCUGGAGAUACAAACCCAGGAGGCCUCAGCACACGGACAAAUUUACAGACCCAGCCAUAAAGGAGGAAGGUGAAGUUUAACUGUACCUUGAUAUUCAAUUAGACAGAAGGGUACCAAUAAACCUUGGAAAUGCCAACGCCAAA
Neofelis nebulosa (Clouded leopard) is the source of this 7358-nucleotide long non-coding RNA. RefSeq lists it as uncharacterized. The transcript has 5 exons. NCBI's taxonomy places the organism in Eukaryota, Metazoa, Chordata, Mammalia, Carnivora, Felidae. The record is from RefSeq and is a predicted model, not a curated record.